Pelobates cultripes (western spadefoot toad) is the source of this 460-nucleotide non-coding RNA. The record is from the annotation of a GenBank genome assembly. NCBI's taxonomy places the organism in Eukaryota, Metazoa, Chordata, Amphibia, Anura, Pelobatidae.
CAUCAAUAAACUAUAAUAUCAUCUGUCUUGAAAUAAUAAUGUUCCUUAUAGAUUUUAGUAAGCAUUAACUGCAAUAGUUAUAAUGUCAAUAUAACUUUUAUCCCCGUACAAGCCCUUCCAUAUAUUUUGUGCAAUUUGUUUUUGCAUUUUAGCUCUUUUGCAACAUAAGGAUGUGUUUUGGAGCCAUUUCUUUUCAUUUGGAUUAAUUGCGUUAAAGAUUGAACUCGUACUCAAACUAAUGUGUCUUGUAAUCUCUCCCUGGGCGUGAGAGCCAUAGAGUGAUAUCGGAGAUUCAUGUUAACCUCUAUCCAAGUUAAUGUUAUUUAAGGAAAAGCCAAAGUGAAAUACCCAUUACUGGAACUGAGAGAAUCCCAGCAUUAGCAGAUAAGCUCUUUUCAGUGUGGAAAAUAUUGCUAAAUUGCCUGGUAGUGUGGCGAAAUGUAACAAUACAGAACAGGAG